GGAAUUAGCUUAGACUGUGUGGUCCAAACCUAGCCAAUAGGGAAACAACACAGCAGUAGGGGCUACCUGUGUCAGGGAUAAGAACCCCUUCCCCUCCCCCUUGUUUAGGUGUGCUCUCGCCAUUGCUCCAUCUGUGAGACGCACCCUUCUUUAGAAGUAAAAUUUCUUUGCUGAGAAAAUUCAUAUUAGAGUGCUAUUUCUUUUGCAGCACUGAAAAUUUAUUUCCAACAAAUUUGGGGGUUCAUCUAGGAUUCCCAUUCUCCUCUGGGAAAGGGUCUUCUGCCUCUCCCAUGAGAAGGCGUGCCCCACUGCCUUGUUGUGGCGGCCUCAGGGGUAAGGAAUCAAGACCCACCUGGUGUGAUGAAUAAACCUGGACUCUCAGCGAUGCAGGAAGAAACAGGCUGGCAGCUUGGGGAAAGGAUUCUUACAUACCACGGCGACCAGGUAACUCUGUGCACAGACCCAGAACUAAAGGUCUUUCAGCACACGCGCCACCCCUAGAGUUUCCAGUACACCAACAUCAGCCUGAGGACCACAUCCUCGUCAAAAGUUGGAGGGAAGGAAAACUCGAACUGGCUUGGGAAGAACACUUCCUAGUGCUUCUAACCACCGAGACUGCAGUUUGAACAGCAGAAAGAAGAUGGACUCAUCACACCUGGGUCAAAAGAACACGACCCCCUCCAGAAUCAUGGGCAGCUAUUCCUGGGCCAACUCCAACGAAGCUAAAGCUUGGUUUGAUCCUCUUACAUUGCAUCUCUUUCUUUUCCCCUUCGAUUGCUAGACCUCUCAUUAGUAAUGUAACUAGGUCAAGUUCACCCCAAACUACUACUUUUGAUGCUUGCCUUGUGAUGCCCUGUGGAGAUUUGCCUAACCAGAGGUAACUCUCCACUUCAGAAAAGUAUCUUUAUCCUUCCUAGCUCUCCUCAGACUGGAAAUCUGUUAACUGGGAUAGGUUAGUUUGGGAUGAGUUUGACGAAGAUUCUAGUAUGAACUGGGAAUCUUGUCCUCCUAGAGCAGAGCUUCUCUGCCGAAGUUGGUCCAAUGCUCUGUAAAAUACUGAAGAGCAAGGAUGGACCACCCCAACUAGUACUUGCAGUUUCUUAAAACCAUAUAUUCAUUUUACUACAAGAGUUAACCCUCCCCAUUGUCAGCUGAACCAAUGUAAUCCAGUACAGAUUACCAUCGCUGCUCCCCAGAGUUCUUCCCCUUCAUUAAGCUGUUUCUAUGGUAUUGGAGCAGAAGUCUCAGGGAAGGACCCCAUGGGAUCCUUUGCAAUGCACUUCGUCGCCUCCUCACCUCCUGCACCCACUUCUCCCUCUCCUUAGUUCUCCGGUAACCAAACCUUCUCUCGUUAUAUACCCAAUGAUAAAACCAAAGUAAUUGUUGUACAGGUUAAAGAUUCAAAACAAACCAUAGCAACUGAAACAGGGUAUCAGGACGCAAAUGCUUGGCUGGAAUGGAUUAAACAUUCUGUUUGCAGGCUAAACAAAAGCGCCUGUUACACUUGUGUGACAGGCAGGCCAGAGACCCAAAUUGUUCCCUUUCCACUUGGGUGGUCCUCUCACAGACCGGGCACGAGCUGUGUGGUAGCUCUCUUCCAGAACCCCACAGCCUGGGGUGGUGAGUCAUGCAAGACUCUUUCACUGCUGUUCCCUGAGGUCAAGAGCCCUGCGGGUCAGCCCUGAAGACUAUCCGGCCUCCAGCCCCUGAUGUUAACUUCACCUCAUGCCUUUCACGGCAGGGGGAAAAGUUAGCAUUCCUUGGAGACUUAACAGGGUGCAGUGAAACCAGGCCUUUUGAAGAGCUUACCAAUCAGUCUGCCCUUGUUCAUCCCCGAGCAGAUGUGUGGUGGUAUUGCUGGGGACUACUGCUGGGUACUCUGCCAAGUAAUUAGAGCAGCACUCAUGCUCUAGUCCAACUGGCCAUCCCUUUCACCCUAGCAUUCUGUCAAUAUGAUAAAAAAAAAAUUGUAAAAGAAGUGCCUCACGUGGGUCCUUUGACCCCCAUGUUUAUAUAAACACUAUUGGAGUUCUAUGAGGAGAACCAGAUGAAUUUAAAGCCCGAGAUCAAAUAGCUGCAGGAUUUAAGUCAGCAUUUUCAUGGGUGACAAUAAAAACAUAGAUUGGAUAAAUUACAUCUAUUAUGAUCACCAGUGGUUUAUUAAUUAUUCCACGGUUGCUGUCAAAGGGAUAACAGAACAACUGGGGCUCACCAGCCAGAUGGCCUGGAGAAACAAAAUGGCCCUGGAUAUGAUAUUAGCCACAAAAGGCGGUGUUGGUGUUAUGAUUAAAACUCAGCGUUGUACCUUUAUCCCAAACAACACUGCCCCCACUGGGGGCAUAACAAGAGCCUUACAAAGACUUACUGCUUUAUCCAAUAAACUAGCUAAACUUCUAGAGUCGAUAACUCUUUCUCAGAGUGGCUAGAAAGGAUGGUUUGGUAAAUGGAAAGAAAUCACAGCCUCAAUUCUUCUCUUGCAGCCUUAGUAGGUGUACUCGUUCUCGUUGGGUGUUGUGUCAUACCAUGCAUCCGUGGGCUAGUAUAAAGACUUAUAGAAGCAACACUUACUAAAACUUCCCUUAGCUCUCCUCCACCUUAUUCAGAUCAGUUUUUUCUUUUAUAGGAUUAAAUUGAACAACAAAGCCAAGACCUGUUAGAAAAGUUUGAAGAGAAACUACUAUGAAAAUUGAAAAGGGGGAAAUUGUAGGAUAAUAAUAAUAAAUUCCUGUCCAAAGGUUUUAGCCUGUAAAUUGUUAAGUAUAAAGUUCUGAGAUCCUCUCCAAAGAACCAAUGUAUCAGUAUGUUCAGCUCCCCUGUUCUUUGUUCUACAUUAUAAAGUUUAACUUCCUCAUUCUUUAUGUCUCCUUGCACCUAGUUUCAGUAAACAACCCCCUCCUAGCCUCUAUCACCUGCUCUGACCUUAGUCACCCUUCGUCACCUACUCUGUUCUUAGUCAUCCUGAGUCACCUGUUCUGUAACCAUCAUUCCCACCAAACUGCUCACCCUGCCUCUCUGGCUCAUACCCUUGCUGUCUUUAAAAUAGCCAGUCAGAAUUAGCUUAGACUGUGUGGUCCAACCAUAGCCAAUGGGGGAAUGACACAGCAGUAGGGGCUACCUGCAUCAGGGAUAAGAACCCCUUUCCCUCACUUGUUCAGGUGUGCUCUCACCAUUGCUCCAUCCAGGAGAUGCACCCUUCUAUAGAAGUAAAAUUGCCUUGCUGAGAAAA
This 3226-nucleotide long non-coding RNA is filed under the name Homo sapiens (human). RNAcentral describes it as "HSALNT0310104". Lineage: Eukaryota; Metazoa; Chordata; Mammalia; Primates; Hominidae. The record is from RNAcentral.